UAUCCAUUGGAGGGCAAGUCUGGUGCCAGCAGCUGCGGUAAUACCAGCUCCAAUAGCGUAUAUUAAAGUUGUUGCAGUUAAAAAGCUCGUAGUUGGACUUGUGUGCGCUGUCCGCGGGUGGCCUGCGCCCAAAAGGGCGUUUCGGUUCGGCCCCGGUGGCGCCUUGAAAUCUGCAGCUGGGGGGACGUUGGCCUUAACUGGUCGGCGACCGCACGCCGGCUGCUCGGUUACUGUGAGAAAAUUAGAGUGUUCAAGGCAGGCAUUGGGUGCAAUUGAAUACAUUAGCAUGGAAUAAUAAAAUAUGGCUCCUGCCGUAUUUUGUUGGUUUUGACUGGUGGGAGUAAUGAUUGAUAGGGACGGUUGGGGGUGCUAGUAUGAGCGGCCAGAGGUGAAAUUCAUGGAUUCGCUCAAGACUAACUUAUGCGAAAGCAUUCACCAAGGACGUCCUCUUUAAUCAAGAACGAAAGUUGGGGGAUCGAAGACGAUCAGAUACCGUCGUAGUCUCAACCAUAAACUAUGUCGACUUGGGAUCGGCGGUAGUUUUUUCAUUAAGACACUGUCGGGACCACGGGAGAAAUCAAAGUGUCUGGACUCUGGGGGAAGUAUGGUCGCAAGGCUGAAACUUGAAGGAAUUGACGGAAGGGCACCACCAGGAGUGGAGCCUGCGGCUUAAUUUGACCCAACACGGGGAAACUUACCAGGUCCAGAGAUGUAGAGGAUUGACAGAUUGAAGCUCUUUCUUGAUCACUUCGGUGGUGGUGCAUGGCCGUUCUUAGUUGGUGGAGUGAUUUGUCUGGUUAAUUCCGUUAACGAACGAGACCUCAGCCUGCUAGUGUAGUCGGCUGGAUUGCCUUUGGCGAUCCGUGAUUUCGACUUCUUAGAGGGACAAUCGACGCGCAGUCGAUGGAAGUUUGAGGCAAUAACAGGUCUGUGAUGCCCUUAGAUGUUCUGGGCCGCACGCGCGCUACACUGCUGGGCUCAGCGAGUUUUACUUGGCCGAGAGGCCCGGUUAAUCUUGUGAAAUCCCAGCGUGCUUGGGCUCGCCUCCUGCAACUGGAGGCGCCAACGAGGAAUUCCUAGUAGACGCAGGUCAUCAACCUGCAUCGAUUACGUCCCUGCCCUUUGUACACACCGCCCGUCGUUCCAUAAGAGUGAGGCAUCCGGUGAAUUCUCGGGAGAGCCUGGGCGUGGCCAGCAAUGGUCUGCUCGGGUUUGAACUUGCAUAAACUUGG
Molecule: ribosomal RNA, 1232 nt
Filed under: metagenome
Description: SSU rRNA
Rfam family: Eukaryotic small subunit ribosomal RNA
Source: RNAcentral